AUUGAACGCUGGCGGCAUGCCUUACACAUGCAAGUCGAACGGCAGCAUGAUCUAGCUUGCUCGAUUGAUGGCGAGUGGCGCACGGGUGAGUAAUACAUCGGAACGUGCCCUGUAGUGGGGGAUAACUAGUCGAAAGAUUAGCUAAUACCGCAUACGACCUGAGGGUGAAAGUGGGGGACCGCAAGGCCUCAUGCUAUAGGAGCGGCCGAUGUCUGAUUAGCUAGUUGGUGAGGUAAAGGCUCACCAAGGCGACGAUCAGUAGCUGGUCUGAGAGGACGAUCAGCCACACUGGGACUGAGACACGGCCCAGACUCCUACGGGAGGCAGCAGUGGGGAAUUUUGGACAAUGGGCGAAAGCCUGAUCCAGCAAUGCCGCGUGUGUGAAGAAGGCCUUCGGGUUGUAAAGCACCUUUGUCCGGAAAGAAAUGGCUCUGGUUAAUACCUGGGGUCGAUGACGGUACCGGAAGAAUAAGGACCGGCUAACUACGUG
Molecule: ribosomal RNA, 490 nt
Filed under: uncultured bacterium
Lineage: Bacteria
Description: partial 16S ribosomal RNA
Rfam family: Bacterial small subunit ribosomal RNA
Source: RNAcentral